ACAUUGGUGGUUCAGUGGUAGAAUCCUCGCCUUCCAUGCUGCAGACCCAGGUUCAGUUUCUGGCCAGUGCA
This 71-nucleotide transfer RNA is filed under the name Loxodonta africana (African savanna elephant). It matches the Rfam family "tRNA". Rfam says of the family: Transfer RNA (tRNA) molecules are approximately 80 nucleotides in length. Their secondary structure includes four short double-helical elements and three loops (D, anti-codon, and T loops). Further hydrogen bonds mediate the characteristic L-shaped molecular structure. tRNAs have two regions of fundamental functional importance: the anti-codon, which is responsible for specific mRNA codon recognition, and the 3' end, to which the tRNAs corresponding amino acid is attached (by aminoacyl-tRNA synthetases). tRNAs cope with the degeneracy of the genetic code in two manners: having more than one tRNA (with a specific anti-codon) for a particular amino acid; and 'wobble' base-pairing, i.e. permitting non-standard base-pairing at the 3rd anti-codon position. Lineage: Eukaryota; Metazoa; Chordata; Mammalia; Proboscidea; Elephantidae. The record is from Rfam by way of RNAcentral.